CCGGCAACGGUGAAACUCAAAGGAAUUGACGGCGGCCCGCGCAAGCGGAGGAACAUGUGGUUUAGUUCGAUGAUACGCGAGGAACCUUACCCGGGCUUAAAUUGCAAAUGAAUUAUGGGGAAACCCAUACGCCGCAAGGCAUUUGUGAAGGUGCUGCAUGGUUGUCGUCAGCUCGUGCCGUGAGGUGUCGGCUUAAGUGCCAUAACGAGCGCAACCCUUAUCUUCAGUUACUAACAGGUCAUGCUGAGGACUCUGGAGAGACUGCCGUCGUAAGAUGUGAGGAAGGUGGGGAUGACGUCAAAUCAGCACGGCCCUUACGUCCGGGGCUACACACGUGUUACAAUGGGGGGUACAGAAGGCCGCUACCUGGUGACAGGAUGCCAAUCCCAAAAACCUCUCUCAGUUCGGAUCGAAGUCUGCAACCCGACUUCGUGAAGCUGGAUUCGCUAGUAAUCGCGCAUCAGCCAUGGCGCGGUGAAUACGUUCCCAGGCCUUGUACACACCGCCCGUCAAGCCAUGAAAGCCGGGGGUACCUGAAGUACGUAACCGCAAGGAGCGUCCUAGGGUAAAAC
This 572-nucleotide ribosomal RNA is filed under the name uncultured organism. RNAcentral's name for it is "SSU rRNA". It matches the Rfam family "Bacterial small subunit ribosomal RNA", at positions 885 to 1468 of the family's 1533-position model. The record is from RNAcentral.